Long non-coding RNA from Oreochromis niloticus (Nile tilapia), 743 nucleotides. RefSeq lists it as uncharacterized. Lineage: Eukaryota; Metazoa; Chordata; Actinopteri; Cichliformes; Cichlidae. The transcript is spliced from 3 exons. The record is from RefSeq and is a predicted model, not a curated record.
GGAGGAUUCCCGCGAAGUAAGGAAUGCGCAAAUGUCGUGGGGAAGAAAAAUCAUAUUGCAGAUCUUGUGCUGCUUGCCCACGCCAUUAAAAGAGAGCAUUCUAACCAUUGCCUUUUUGUUGUGAAUGCAGCUUUUCCUCACUAGAACACGUCCCUGACUCUUGUUCUGCUGGAGCUCUCCCCAUGCUGAAAUGGACUUAUUCACUCUCCACUGUCACCAAGUGCUGCUCAUAGGCGUUUUCUCUAUAAUCUUGCAGGGACUUUAUCUGUAAGUUGGCACUAUGUAAAUAAAUAAUAGUUUUAGUGAAAUAAGUUUAUACUUCUCAGCAGUGGCUGUAUUUCCUGAGGAGGCUGAGGAAAUUUGGUAUGUCGGCCAAGAUCCUCAGCAGGUUCUACAGCUGCAUUGUGGAGAGCACACUGACCAGCUGCAUCACUGCACGGUACGGCAGCACUAAUGCUAUGGAAACGCCUGCAGAGAGUGAUAACAACUGCAGAGAAGAUCACCAGGACCUCACUGCCCUCUCUGCAGAGCAUCUACCAUAGCAGAAUCCAGAAGAGAGCUGCCUCCAUCCUCAAAGACACCACACACCCCCAACACGGACUGUUCACACUUCUGCCCUCGAAGGUGCUUUAGCAAAAAGGAAAGUUUUAAGCCUAAUCUUAAAAGUAGAGAUAGUGUCUGUCUCCCAAAUCCAAGCUGGAAGCUGGUUCCACAGAAGAGGGGCCUGAAAACUGAAGGCUCUC